Molecule: long non-coding RNA, 1772 nt
Organism: Manis pentadactyla (Chinese pangolin)
Lineage: Eukaryota; Metazoa; Chordata; Mammalia; Pholidota; Manidae
Exons: 3
Source: RefSeq, a predicted model, not a curated record
UUGCUAAAAAGCAUUGCCUACUCUAACUUAGAAAAAAGACUACAUGUCUACUAAUCAUUUCUACUUAGAUCUUGGAAUGCUUCACAGCCCUAAAAUAGCUACAUUUCACAAAGUAUUACAAAGAAUAAAUGAGUUCUAGCUUGCAAGCAGGAAAAAUAGUUCAUAAAUUCAAGGUUUUCCAGGGUUGGGAAACCGAACUGCUUUUAACAAUUGAACUAAAAAGACUUUGCCAAUGCACAGUAAGAAAAACUUUCCAGUUGAAUAAAGUGACUCAAGGCAAGAUCAGAGUAGGGGUGUGGCUUGACCCCAAUUGUUCAAACUCCCAGUGGUAGCCAACAUUAAGUUGAGUGGGAAAAAGGCAUGAAGGUGAGAUAGUAGCUAUGUAAAAUGAAUUUGAAUAUUAUUUUUAGGAAGUAAUUUUAGGUAUAAUUAUAGCUACAUGAAAUUGACUGAAUCAAGUAGGUCAGACAUCUACAAAGUUUUUGACAGAAUUGUAUUGUCAAAGAAAUGACAGGUGCAUUCUUGAAAAAGUCUUUAUUUUUAGAAUUCAAAUCUUAACAUCAAUUUUCAUAUUUCCACAUAUAGAAAGGAGCUUCACAAUGUCUCAGCCAUGAAGGUAUGCUCUCCAAACCAUUUUCAGAUAUGGCUAAGGAGAAUAAUGAAAAGAAAGAGGCUCCAAGAAGUCAUAUCCAGGGGCCACAGAGAAGAAAAUGACAAAGCAUUUCCUCCCAGAGAGUAGAAUCCCUACCUCCACCUCUGGCGAGAGAGUAUCACAAUGUCUGUGCAGUGGUAUUUCAGAAUCACUAAUGAACAUUGACUACCACGUAUCUCUUAUUCUUCCUAUUUCUAAUUCAUAAUGUUCAUUGUAGACAUCUGGUAUUUGGGUGUGAGGUAGGGAUGCAGAUAAUUUGUCUUUUUGGUUCAUAGGCCACCUGACCAUGAGGAACCUCAUGGAUAGGACAGAUCUCCAUUAGAUGGAUGCAGUGAAUGGAAAAGCACUGAAUUAUUUUCUUUAGGAAGGGAACAGAUGUGAAUUUGUUUGAUAUAUAAGAGGAAGAAUGAGGGAGAUAUUUUGUUGAACACUUUGGAUGGUAGCUGAGACAGUAUAUGUUCAACACACAGUUUUCUCUUCCUGAGCAUGUAAGACAAUGAUGUUACUAUUCCUUUAAAUUAUAUUGGGGGUCAUUGACUUUGUUCAGGUCACUAGAAUAUAAGCAGAAAUAAUGUAAAAUACUUUUAUACCCAGCUCUUAAAACAAUAUGCAUAAUUCUCUAUUACUGUCUUCCCCUUCAGUGUUAACUUUGUACAUUUCUUCAGAUGUACUCAAAGAUAGAAGCUUCUUUGGUCCCUGAGUCACCACUUGGAGGGGAGUUGCUCAGAAGAGCUGCCUGACCUGUACUGGACAGUGACCUGAAUGAAAAAUAAACAGAGAUUCCAAGAUCUGUUUGUUACUACAGUAUAGCUACGUCUACCCUGCCUGAAACAGAUAUCCUAAGGACAUCAUAGACUAUGCCAGUUUCUUCUCUAUAGUUUUUGGAAUAGCCAGAGAAGGGCAUGUGAAUAAUGCAACAAUCAGAAUGAAUGACACAGGAACAAAAUUAAUUCUACAAUGACUGAGGAACUACCUGUGCAGGUCUGUAUGAAAAUGCGCUGAGAUAUAUUUUGGAGUUUUUGCCUAACAUCGCCUUCACUGUUAAAGAUCACAAUUUUUAUUUUUAGUGGAUGAUGGUAGGUAUCAAACUGCUAUUAUAUUUAGAUUCUAAUAGAUGCAA